GGAGAUGUGACUCAGUAGUAGAGCCCUUGCCUAGCAUGCAGAAGGCCUUGGGUUUGAUUCCCAGUACCACCA
RNAcentral lists this transfer RNA (72 nucleotides) under Heterocephalus glaber (naked mole-rat). It matches the Rfam family "tRNA". From Rfam's summary of the family: Transfer RNA (tRNA) molecules are approximately 80 nucleotides in length. Their secondary structure includes four short double-helical elements and three loops (D, anti-codon, and T loops). Further hydrogen bonds mediate the characteristic L-shaped molecular structure. tRNAs have two regions of fundamental functional importance: the anti-codon, which is responsible for specific mRNA codon recognition, and the 3' end, to which the tRNAs corresponding amino acid is attached (by aminoacyl-tRNA synthetases). tRNAs cope with the degeneracy of the genetic code in two manners: having more than one tRNA (with a specific anti-codon) for a particular amino acid; and 'wobble' base-pairing, i.e. permitting non-standard base-pairing at the 3rd anti-codon position. Lineage: Eukaryota; Metazoa; Chordata; Mammalia; Rodentia; Bathyergidae. The record is from Rfam by way of RNAcentral.